Molecule: long non-coding RNA, 2667 nt
Organism: Prinia subflava (tawny-flanked prinia)
Lineage: Eukaryota; Metazoa; Chordata; Aves; Passeriformes; Cisticolidae
Exons: 3
Source: RefSeq, a predicted model, not a curated record
CAAGAAAACAUGGAGAGGCAGUUUCAGAAGCACCACCCUGUCCUGACACAGAGGUGAUAUGAUGAAAAUAUGGCAGAGCACUGUGGAAAAAAUGAAGAGGAUGACACCAGAGAAAAACUGACACAACAGAGAUCCAUGCAGACCCCUGACGCAUAUUCUUUAGGUGCCUCAAACACAGCACGUCACUGUGUAGAGCUGCUCUUGUUGUUGGCCUCACGUUACUGAAGGUUAUCCCACAGGGAAGGGAGGCCAUCCUAGAGGGAACUGCAGUAAUGGAGGCUGGAGCAUGACCUGUACAGGAAGUGAAGAGGCUGCCAAAUUACCAUGCCCGUGAGCCCCACUCUCAUUAUCAGCCUAAACGAACGCACACACCCCGCCACUUUCAUCCUCUUCCAGGUCCAAGAAAAAGAAAAAGAAGGCAAAAAAACCCAACCAACCUUCCACACAAAGAGGUGUCUCUGAAGUCUGGAAUGCAACCUGGCUGUUUGAAGACAAGAUUUAUACCUGACACCCUCCUUAAAGCUCAUUGUUGAGACUCGCCUGCGUUCAAAUCAACCGCAGACUGGCUGCUGCAGGUACUUCAUCUUACAACAACCACAUCAUCUAAGAUAAAUGCACCAGGAAUUGCUAUCACUUUGAGGUGGAAAAAAAAACUGGGGUUGGGGGGAGGAAAUCAAACCUCUGAUGCAGGUAGUGGGUGGAGGAAGAGACAGAAGAGCAUGAAGGAGUGUGUGAGGGUGUGAGCAGGCCAGGAGCCAGCGACAGCCGCCAGCCUGCGGCACGGGGCGCAGGGAUGAAAUGGGUCUGGCUGCCUGUGUGGGCACCUGUGUUUGGGCCCAGCCUCUCCUCGCCUUGGCAGCCAGGCUGUGGGACCAGGCGUUGGGCGGGACCCUUAAGCCACGCCAGAGCCAGGGGAGCAGUAAUCACUCAGGUGCUGGUGAAGGACUGAAAGGAGCUUUUGACUUGGUGGGAGACAAAGAGAAGGACUGUGCCAUCAGUUCAUGUCAUUCCCAUGUUUUCUGGGCCAAGCCUGAUUUCUUCAUUUUAGGAUCCUGUCCCUACGUAAGCUGUGGUUAGUUGCUUUCAUUCAGCUUCUUAAAUUUCUCUGGAGGAAAAGCCUUGGUAGUAAGGACUUAAUUUUACACUGAAUCUGUCUGAUGGGAGGCAAAGCCAUAGGGGACUGAGAUAGGUGAAGCAAACAGUAAGAGAGACAGAAGAGUUUGCUCAGGACAGUGUCAGGAUGUGGAGAAACACAGCUGAACAUCCUAGAGCUCAGGCUGCUGAAACUCUAGCAUUAGCAGGAGUUGGGCUAAUUAUUGAAGGCUUUGAAGUGAUGCAGGCAGAAAAUGUCUAUCAUAAUCAAGGAACAACACCUGGCAAUUGGCAGAGAUACUUAUUGCCUAUAUCAUACUAUUGCUCAAAGGCCCAAUAAAUGUUGGGGUGUAAGGAUGCAAUUUGUGGUGUAGAACCAGCUAAGGAGCAUUUUCCAGGGUGAAGAAUUACCAUGGCAUUUAGAAUAAUGCCCCAUUAAUCCAGGGCAUUCAAAAAUGGUUCUGAGGAGAUACUCUGAUAUUCUGAAAUUAAACUGAUAGAGAAAAGCCAAAAAAAAAUGACAGCAUAGGUAUUAAUGCAAAAGUUUAAAGAUAGAAAAACCUGCCCUUCUGAAGCAUUUCAUAAUGCCUAUCUUGGAUCCAGAGACAGAAAGCAAUAUGGGAUGAACAAAAAAAGAAGGUCCCUAAGGACUGUUCUAUCCUCACAGAUUUGACCUGCUACUGGGCAGGACCUAUCAGCAUAUUCUGGAUUUAACCCAACAGAAAGAUCUUUAUUUGGUUUUCUAGUUCUCCUUUGUCUGGCAGUUAAGACUCAGGGCUGUAAAGGGCUUCUUCCAAAACUUCUGGGCUGACAAGGAUGUUUGACAUCUGGGAAAAAUGAGCUGGUUUAAUCCACUUCAGUUCUAGAGCACUUUCUAUAUUUAGGAUUUUAAAUUAUGUUUCAUUAAGAAUGCAAAUUAUGAGCAUUUCUAGGACUCCAGGUACUUGCAUGUCCCAGCUAGCACAUAAGCCUCAUGCCGUUACAAAUCUGAAUAAGGCAGGUUAAGUUUGCAGCAGAAUUAAAAUAGGGCAAAAGGGAGGGUGGGAAGAGAGCUUGAACAACACAUUCAACAUUUGCCGACUAGGGUGAGAGGAAAAACAUUUACACCAACACUGAACUGACACAACUGCAUGUGAAGCUACAGCAUCAAUCUCAGCUUGGUCACAGUUAUCCUGUUCCAUUUUUGCAAUUGAAAAACUUACCAUUUAUAAAUAUUUUUUAGAUUUUUUUUUUCCUGUGGGCUGUUUUGUUCUUUUGUUUUGGUGGGUUUUUGUUGUUUGUUGGUUUUUUUUCAUCUUGGGGGAUGAUAUCUGCUACCUAGUGCCAGCAUAAGAUUGUCAGAGAAAUUGGUUUCAUCAACCCAUGACCAAUGUAUUGAAAAAUGGAGCAUGGCUCUGCUGCAGCAAUCACAGGAAAUGUUGUGGACACUCUGCCUGGAGCCUCCAUAAUUUGUGACACCAAACAUCUGAGGUAACAGCAUUCAGUAUUUCAUCCUGACAUUUCAGCUCUUGACAGCACUACAGAAUGCUGCUUGAACCUAAAGUCAAAUGCAAUAAACUGUGCACAGCUUUGCCA